RNAcentral lists this ribosomal RNA (266 nucleotides) under uncultured bacterium. RNAcentral's name for it is "partial 16S ribosomal RNA". It matches the Rfam family "Bacterial small subunit ribosomal RNA", at positions 793 to 1055 of the family's 1533-position model. The record is from RNAcentral.
GUCCUGGCAGUAAACGGUGCACGUUUGGUGUGGGAGGAUUCGACCCCUUCCGCGCCGGAGCUAACGCGUUAAACGUGCCGCCUGGGGAGUACGGUCGCAAGAUUAAAACUCAAAGAAAUUGACGGGGCCCGCACAAGCGGUGGAGUAUGUGGCUUAAUUCGAUGCAACGCGAAGAACCUUACCUGGCCUUGACAUGCAUCUCUAAGCGCGUGAAAGCGCGUGACUCCCGAAAGGGAGAAUUUGCACAGGUGCUGCAUGGCUGUCGU